CAGCCGCCGCGGGAAUACGAAGGGUGCAAGCGUUACUCGGAAUUACUGGGCGUAAAGCGUGCGUAGGUGGUGGUUUAAGUCCGUUGUGAAAGCCCUGGGCUCAACCUGGGAAUUGCAGUGGAUACUGGGUCACUAGAGUGUGGUAGAGGAUAGUGGAAUUUCCGGUGUAGCGGUGAAAUGCGUAGAGAUCUGGAGGAAUACCGGUGGCGAAGGCGGCCCCCUGGACAAAGACUGACGCUCAGGUGCGAAAGCGUGGGGAGCAAACAGGAUUAGAUACCCCGGUAGUCCCUGUCUCUUAUAC
RNAcentral lists this ribosomal RNA (301 nucleotides) under uncultured bacterium. RNAcentral's name for it is "partial 16S ribosomal RNA". It matches the Rfam family "Bacterial small subunit ribosomal RNA", at positions 509 to 807 of the family's 1533-position model. The record is from RNAcentral.